RNAcentral lists this long non-coding RNA (669 nucleotides) under Numida meleagris (helmeted guineafowl). RNAcentral describes it as "lncRNA (ENSNMEG00000014841.1)". Lineage: Eukaryota; Metazoa; Chordata; Aves; Galliformes; Numididae. The record is from RNAcentral.
AUGCGUCCCGUCGGCAGGCAGGCGUUGCCAGGGGCGGUGCGCGGCGGUGAGCGUGGUGCCGGGCGGGCCGUGACGCGCCGCCGGGCCGGGGAGCACCGCCUCCAGCCUCCGGGUCACCGCCAGCCCUUCCGGGUCGCCGCCGAGCCGCGGUUGGGCCCGUGCUGCCGCCGUGGUCGCCCCGGUAUGGACAACCAGAAGGAUGAGAAAGGCAGGGUGCUCAGUGCAGCUUCGGCAGAGGACCUGAAAGUCCGAGGAAAAGAAAAAAGGAAAAGAAGGCGUAGCAGAAGCAGAUCAUCAUCCAUUUCAUCCACAUCGUCUUCUAGCACUACAUCCACUUCUUCUUCCUCAUCACGUUCAUCAUCAAGGUCGUCGUCUUCAAGUAGCAGAGAUUCUCCUAAAACUAAAUCAAAGAAAAGGAAAAAAGAAAAACACAACAAAAAGAAGAGGAAAAAAGAGAACAAAACGAAGAAAAAGAAAGAAAAGAAGAAAAAGAAAGAGAAAACAGGACCUGUCCAGCUUUCUAAGUUCUUCAAAAACAAGAAGAAGAAUGAAAACUACAGCAUGAUAACUGGAAAGAAAAUUAAGAUGAAAAUAAAGAAGACUAAGAAGGAUAAAGAGAGAGACAGGAACCGUGCAGAGCUGCUUGAAUUUCUGAACUCUGCCUUAUAA